CUGACAUAAGUAACGAUAAAGCGGGUGAAAAGCCCGCUCGCCGGAAGACCAAGGGUUCCUGUCCAACGUUAAUCGGGGCAGGGUGAGUCGACCCCUAAGGCGAGGCCGAAAGGCGUAGUCGAUGGGAAACAGGUUAAUAUUCCUGUACUUGGUGUUACUGCGAAGGGGGGACGGAGAAGGCUAUGUUGGCCGGGCGACGGUUGUCCCGGUUUAAGCGUGUAGGCUGGUUUUCCAGGCAAAUCCGGAAAAUCAAGGCUGAGGCGUGAUGACGAGGCACUGCGGUGCUGAAGCAACAAAUGCCCUGCUUCCAGGAAAAGCCUCUAAGCAUCAGGUAACAUCAAAUCGUACCCCAAACCGACACAGGUGGUCAGGUAGAGAAUACCAAGGCGCUUGAGAGAACUCGGGUGAAGGAACUAGGCAAAAUGGUGCCGUAACUUCGGGAGAAGGCACGCUGAUAUGUAGGUGAAGUCCCUCGCGGAUGGAGCUGAAAUCAGUCGAAGAUACCAGCUGGCUGCAACUGUUUAUUAAAAACACAGCACUGUGCAAACACGAAAGUGGACGUAUACGGUGUGACGCCUGCCCGGUGCCGGAAGGUUAAUUGAUGGGGUUAGCGCAAGCGAAGCUCUUGAUCGAAGCCCCGGUAAACGGCGGCCGUAACUAUAACGGUCCUAAGGUAGCGAAAUUCCUUGUCGGGUAAGUUCCGACCUGCACGAAUGGCGUAAUGAUGGCCAGGCUGUCUCCACCCGAGACUCAGUGAAAUUGAACUCGCUGUGAAGAUGCAGUGUACCCGCGGCAAGACGGAAAGACCCCGUGAACCUUUACUAUAGCUUGACACUGAACAUUGAGCCUUGAUGUGUAGGAUAGGUGGGAGGCUUUGAAGUGUGGACGCCAGUCUGCAUGGAGCCGACCUUGAAAUACCACCCUUUAAUGUUUGAUGUUCUAACGUUGACCCGUAAUCCGGGUUGCGGACAGUGUCUGGUGGGUAGUUUGACUGGGGCGGUCUCCUCCUAAAGAGUAACGGAGGAGCACGAAGGUUGGCUAAUCCUGGUCGGACAUCAGGAGGUUAGUGCAAUGGCAUAAGCCAGCUUGACUGCGAGCGUGACGGCGCGAGCAGGUGCGAAAGCAGGUCAUAGUGAUCCGGUGGUUCUGAAUGGAAGGGCCAUCGCUCAACGGAUAAAAGGUACUCCGGGGAUAACAGGCUGAUACCGCCCAAGAGUUCAUAUCGACGGCGGUGUUUGGCACCUCGAUGUCGGCUCAUCACAUCCUGGGGCUGAAGUAGGUCCCAAGGGUAUGGCUGUUCGCCAUUUAAAGUGGUACGCGAGCUGGGUUUAGAACGUCGUGAGACAGUUCGGUCCCUAUCUGCCGUGGGCGCUGGAGAACUGAGGGGGGCUGCUCCUAGUACGAGAGGACCGGAGUGGACGCAUCACUGGUGUUCGGGUUGUCAUGCCAAUGGCACUGCCCGGUAGCUAAAUGCGGAAGAGAUAAGUGCUGAAAGCAUCUAAGCACGAAACUUGCCCCGAGAUGAGUUCUCCCUGACUCCUUGAGAGUCCUGAAGGAACGUUGAAGACGACGACGUUGAUAGGCCGGGUGUGUAAGCGCAGCGAUGCGUUGAGCUAACCGGUACUAAUGAACCGUGAGG
This 1639-nucleotide ribosomal RNA is filed under the name Escherichia coli. Its description in RNAcentral is "partial 23S ribosomal RNA". It matches the Rfam family "Bacterial large subunit ribosomal RNA", at positions 1297 to 2915 of the family's 2925-position model. The record is from RNAcentral. Lineage: Bacteria; Pseudomonadati; Pseudomonadota; Gammaproteobacteria; Enterobacterales; Enterobacteriaceae.